RNAcentral lists this long non-coding RNA (1991 nucleotides) under Mus musculus (house mouse). RNAcentral's name for it is "long non-coding RNA chrX:50879758-50881749". Lineage: Eukaryota; Metazoa; Chordata; Mammalia; Rodentia; Muridae. The record is from RNAcentral.
CAAAUGUCUCAGUAAAUUAAAGUCCAGAAACUCAGAAUGAUUGUGUGCCAAUGUCAGUUUGACACUUUUAUGCUCUCCUUAAUACUGAGUAUAUUUGGAUUUAAAAAAAAUACAUAUAUGGAAUGGAGAGAUGACUCACUGGUGUACAGUGUACAGUGGCUGUUCUUCCAGAGGACCCAAGUUUGCUUCCCAACACCCACAUAACUGUUAAUAACUGUCUAUAAUUCCAUUUUCAGGGGAUCCAAUGCCUUUUUCUGGACUCCACAGACACCAGGCACAUAAAUGGCACACAGACCAAUAUGCAGACAAUAUAAGUAAACAAUAAAAUAAUAUAAAAAGAAAAACUUUAAAAUACGUCAAGAUAACUGUCACUAACAGGGAUCAUAAAUCUAAGGUUUCAAUCUUUGAAAAUGUAUGAGUCAAUACCCUAACCCCACCCCAACAUGAUGGUAUUAGGAAAUAUAAUUAAACCAUGAGAAUGGAGCCUUCAGGAAUGACAAUAGUGUAUUUAUCAAAAGAAUCUCAGGAGUAUAUUCUAGCUCUACUUUUUUAUUAUCAUAUGAGGAUACAAUGACAAGGACCAUCUGUAAACCACGAAAUGUCUUCCCAGAGAUACCCAUCUGCUUAGGUUCUCUAGCACACAGAACUGGGAAAUCAGUGUUUGCUAUUUAAUUCAGCCUGUGAUGCUCUGUUAGAGCAGCCUGAGGUGACCAAGACUGGCAUGAGGGUUUUAAUCCUGUUGGCCUGUAGAAAUGGCUUUCUAUAGACAUUUUCCUUCUUCUCAGUAGGUCAUUUGAAAAUGUGUUUUUGUUUUGUUGUUAAAAUAACUGAAAAGUAUUACUAUCAUUGUGAUUUUACUUUGUAAAAUAGGUAGCCAUCUAGUUAGCUAGCUAGCUAUUAUAAGGGUGGAAAAGGGAUGCACACAGCCCAGGGGCCCAUAGGAAUAUCAGAGGACAAUUUAUGCAAGUAUGCUCUCUCCUCCUAUCAUGUAGGUUCAGGGCAUCAACCUUAGGUCAUUGGGUUUGGUGGCAAGUGUCUUUACUCAUGGAGCCAGCUGAUAGCCUAUUUUCCUAGAUGUUUACAGUGCUAAAAUCUGGUGGUGUGCAGGAAAAUGAAAACAUGUUCACGUGGGACAUGUCUCUGAGAAAAACUGUUUUUCCUAAGCUGUUGUGAUGGCACCAAAACUGAUCCCUCCAUUGAAAAAAUUAUUAACAUGCAAUUAUAUUUAAAGUUCAAUAUAGGCUAUAAUAGUCAACAUGCUACAGAUUGACCAUUGAAUGGGCAAAUAGCUGUUUGAGGUUCUAAAACUAUCUCUAUUUCUCCAGGUCUGUGACGUUGAAGCAGACACCUGGACUCUUUGGGCUUAGAUCCUAUAGAUCGCGUAACACAAAGAACUUAUACUAAAUUAUUUCUAUGUUCUCUUACAUCCUUAAUAUUACGUGACAUAUUUGUUUAUUUUGUUUAUUUUUAAUUUUCUGAGGUCCAGUUGCCCUGUAACUCAUAAUUUUUCUGCCUCAGCCUCCAGAAUGUUCCACCUUGUUCUGAGGCAGGAUGUCCAAACCCUCCCAUUUCUUCCAAUUCAUGGCUUCUAUUGUCAUAAAUAUACAUAUGUAUUACUAAAUAUAGUUUCUAGCUACUACCAUUUUCAAUUUAUUCAAUAUUUAAAAUUUUGAAUUAUAGGAUUCUUUCACUUCCUAGGUUAGGUAUUUAAAUUCUGAAGCAUUUUACGUCUUUGAGACAAUAGUAAAUUAAAUUAGUUCCCUGAUUUUUUUUCAGCAUUUUUGCUAUUGGUAUGUAUAUUGGAUGUUGGUUUUGUAUAUUAAAUUUAUAUCCUGCCUCAAAAGUUAUAGGGCUGGAAAGAUGUCUCAGUGGUUAGGAGCACUGUGUGUUUUUCUAGAAGACCCACAUGGCAAGUCAUAACUGUUUGUAAUUCCAGUCCCAGGGGAUCCAAUACCCUCACAUAGACAUGCAUGCAGGCAAAACACUAAAGC